UACGAGGGGGGCAAGUGUUGUUCGGAUUUACUGGGUGUAAAGGGAGUGUAGGCGGUCUUGUAAGUCAGGGGUGAAAUGCCCACGCUUAACGUGGUGCUCUGCCUUUGAUACUGCAAGGCUUGAAUGUUGGAGAGGGUAACGGAAUUCCAGGUGUAGCGGUGGAAUGCGUAGAUAUCUGGAAGAACACCAGUUGCGAAGGCGGUUACCUGGCCAAACAUUGACGCUGAGGCUCGAAAGCCGGGGGA
This 245-nucleotide ribosomal RNA is filed under the name uncultured bacterium. RNAcentral describes it as "partial 16S ribosomal RNA". It matches the Rfam family "Bacterial small subunit ribosomal RNA", at positions 524 to 767 of the family's 1533-position model. The record is from RNAcentral.